RNAcentral lists this ribosomal RNA (255 nucleotides) under uncultured bacterium. Its description in RNAcentral is "partial 16S ribosomal RNA". It matches the Rfam family "Bacterial small subunit ribosomal RNA", at positions 524 to 776 of the family's 1533-position model. The record is from RNAcentral.
UACGUAGGACCCAAGCGUUAUCCGGAAUUACUGGGCGUAAAGAGUUGCGUAGGUGGCAGAGUAAGCAAGGUGUGAAAGCGUGUGGCUCAACCAUACAUGGCAUACUUUGAACUGCUCAGCUAGAGAGCGAGAGAGGUCACUGGAAUUCCUAGUGUAGGAGUGAAAUCCGUAGAUAUUAGGAGGAACACCGAUGGCGUAGGCAGGUGACUGGCUCGUUUCUGACACUGAGGCACGAAAGCGUGGGGAGCGAACGGG